This 468-nucleotide ribosomal RNA is filed under the name uncultured bacterium. RNAcentral describes it as "partial 16S ribosomal RNA". It matches the Rfam family "Bacterial small subunit ribosomal RNA", at positions 28 to 507 of the family's 1533-position model. The record is from RNAcentral.
GACGAACGCUGGCGGCGUGCUUAACACAUGCAAGUCGAACGGAAAGGCCCUGCUUUUGUGGGGUGCUCGAGUGGCGAACGGGUGAGUAACACGUGAGUAACCUGCCCUUGACUUUGGGAUAACUUCAGGAAACUGGGGCUAAUACCGGAUAGGAGCUCCUGCUGCAUGGUGGGGGUUGGAAAGUUUCGGCGGUUGGGGAUGGACUCGCGGCUUAUCAGCUUGUUGGUGGGGUAGUGGCUUACCAAGGCUUUGACGGGUAGCCGGCCUGGGAGGGUGACCGGGGACAUUGGGACUGAGGUACGGCCCAGACUGCUACGGGAGGCAGCAGGGGGGAAUCUUACGCAGUGGGCGGGAGCCAGAGACGACGACGCCGCGAGCGGAAAGACGGGUUAUGAGUUGUAAACAGCUUUCGCAUGAGACGAGGAGUGAGUGACGGUAAUGGGUAAAGAAGCACCGGCUAACUACGUG